RNAcentral lists this transfer RNA (83 nucleotides) under Obscuribacter sp. (SeqCode). Its description in RNAcentral is "tRNA-Tyr". It matches the Rfam family "tRNA". From Rfam's summary of the family: Transfer RNA (tRNA) molecules are approximately 80 nucleotides in length. Their secondary structure includes four short double-helical elements and three loops (D, anti-codon, and T loops). Lineage: Bacteria; Bacillati; Candidatus Melainabacteria; Candidatus Obscuribacterales; Obscuribacteraceae (SeqCode). RNAcentral also lists the same sequence under 4 other names. The record is from RNAcentral.
GGGCGGAUGUCCGAGUGGCUAAAGGAGGCAGACUGUAAAUUUGCUAGCGAAAGCUUACGCUGGUUCGAAUCCAGCUCCGCCCA